Molecule: ribosomal RNA, 484 nt
Filed under: uncultured bacterium
Lineage: Bacteria
Description: partial 16S ribosomal RNA
Rfam family: Bacterial small subunit ribosomal RNA
Source: RNAcentral
AGUGAACGCUGGCGGCGUGCUUAACACAUGCAAGUCGAACGAGAACGGGUUAUAGCUUGCUAUAAUUGUCAGCUAAGUGGCGUACGGGUGAGUAAUGUAUAGGUAAUAUGCCUCUUACUAAGGGAUAACAAAUGGAAACGUUUGCUAAUACCUUAUACUCCUUAUUAACAGAAGUUAAUAAGGGAAAGAUUUAUUGGUAAGAGAUUAGCCUGUAUUGUAUCAGUUAGUUGGUGAGGUAAUGGCUUACCAAGACUAUGACACAUAACUGGUUUGAGAGGGUGAUCAGUCACACUGGAACUGAGACACGGUCCAGACUCCUACGGGAGGCAGCAGUGGGGAAUAUUGCACAAUGGACGAAAGUCUGAUGCAGCAACGCCGCGUGGAGGAUGACACAUUUCGGUGCGUAAACUCCUUUUAUAUGAGAAGAUAAUGACGGUAUUAUAUGAAUAAGCACCGGCUAACUCCGUGCCAGCCGCCGCGGUAA